RNAcentral lists this small RNA (740 nucleotides) under Pongo abelii (Sumatran orangutan). Its description in RNAcentral is "retained intron". The record is from RNAcentral. Lineage: Eukaryota; Metazoa; Chordata; Mammalia; Primates; Hominidae.
CAGGAUGGAGUACAGAUAAGGAGCCUUUCUAAGGAGACCACCCGUUAUAAUCAUCCCAAGCCCAACCUGCUGUAUCAGAAGUUUGUGAAGAUGGCUACAUUGACUUCAGGUGGAGAGAAGCCAAACAAAGACUUGGAGAGCUGCAGUGAUGACGACAACCAGGGGCCCAAGUCCCCAAAGAUGUGAGACUUCAUUUUAGCUCUUGGGGAAUGUGGGAGGAGAUGUCCUCAGAUGGCAAGAGAAAGGGCUAAAUCUAAUGCUUGACUGGGGGCUUCUUGGGGGUGGGUGGAACUGUGUUGUACUAAUCUUUGUAUCCCUAGUACCUCAAAAAGUGCCAGGUCCUGAACAAGAACUCAGUGUUGAAGGAAUGUUUUAGAAGGAGGAGAGGUCAAGCCCUUCCACCAGGUCUGUUUGUAACUGCCGAUCUCCCCUAACAGUCUGACUGAUGAGAUGCUGCUCCAAGCCUGUGAGGGGCGAACAGCACACAAGGCUGCCCGUCUUGGGAUCACGAUGAAGGCCAAACUUGCUCGCCUAGAGGCCCAGGAGCAGGCCUUCCUGGCUCGUCUCAAAGGCCAGGACCCUGGGGCCCCUCAACCGCAGUCAGAGAGCAAGCCCCCCAGAAAAAAGAAAAAGAAAAAGAAACAGAAAGAGGAGGAAGAAGCUACAGCAUCUGAAAGGAAUGAUGCAGAUGAGAAGCACCCAGAACAUGCUGAGCAGAACAUCAGAAAAAGCAAGAAGAA